CGUAGACUGGAUGGUCCACGAUCCAGUGCGUGGACCGCGUGGGCAUUUUUCAUGCAUUUCUCACGGUCCACGGCACUAUUUCAUGGAUUGGAGCAUGAUCAGAUAGUGUGGGUUGAUCCAAAACUUGAUCCGAUGGUUCAGAAACUUAAUUGGGCUUGAUUAGGAGUCUUAAACCUAAUCAAACUCAAGUUUAAGGCCUUAUAAAAGGUCCAGAUCGUGGAACAGAGGUCUUAUGGCGGUGGCUUGUUUUUCCCUCGAUGC
Molecule: long non-coding RNA, 261 nt
Filed under: Elaeis guineensis (African oil palm)
Lineage: Eukaryota; Viridiplantae; Streptophyta; Magnoliopsida; Arecales; Arecaceae
Description: long non-coding RNA (EGUI_LNC007217)
Source: RNAcentral